UGGGGAAUAUUGGGCAAUGGAGGAAACUCUGACCCAGCAACGCCGCGUGAGGGAGGAAGGUCUUCGGAUUGUAAACCUCUGUCCUCGGGGACGAAAGAAAUGACGGUACCCGGGGAGGAAGCUCCGGCUAACUACGUGCCAGCAGCCGCGGUAAUACGUAGGGAGCGAGCGUUGUCCGGAAUUACUGGGCGUAAAGGGUGCGCAGGCGGCCCUGUAAGUCAGAUGUGAAAGCCCGGGGCUUAACCCCGGGACUGCAUUUGAAACUGCGGGGCUUGAGUGCAGAAGAGGCAAGCGGAAUUCCUUGUGUAGCGGUGAAAUGCGCAGAUAUAAGGAAGAACACCGGUGGCGAAGGCGGCUUGCUGGGCUGUAACUGACGCUGAGGCACGAAAGCGUGGGGAGCAAACAGG
This 407-nucleotide ribosomal RNA is filed under the name uncultured bacterium. RNAcentral describes it as "bacterial SSU rRNA". It matches the Rfam family "Bacterial small subunit ribosomal RNA", at positions 355 to 776 of the family's 1533-position model. The record is from RNAcentral.